UUUGACCUCAAAUCAGGUANGACUACCCGCUGAACUUAAGCAUAUCAAUAAGCGGAGG
Molecule: ribosomal RNA, 58 nt
Filed under: Leccinum melaneum
Lineage: Eukaryota; Fungi; Basidiomycota; Agaricomycetes; Boletales; Boletaceae
Description: partial 28S ribosomal RNA
Rfam family: Eukaryotic large subunit ribosomal RNA
Source: RNAcentral